CCAAGGAGUCUAACAUGUGCGCGAGUCAUUGGGUCUUGCUCAGGCCCAAAGGCGCAAUGAAAGUGAAGGCCGGCUCGGUCGGCUGCGUUGGGAUCCCGCACUCAUUUUGGGUGCGGGCGCACCAACGGCCCGUCCCGAUCGCCGCGUCGACGGGGCGGAGUGAGAGCGUACACGUUGGGACCCGAAAGAUGGUGAACUAUGCCUGGGCAGGACGAAGCCAGAGGAAACUCUGGUGGAGGUCCGCAGCGAUUCUGACGUGCAAAUCGAUCGUCAGACCUGGGUAUAGGGGCGAAAGACUAAUCGAACCAUCUA
This 312-nucleotide ribosomal RNA is filed under the name Miopsalis sp. Sarawak. RNAcentral's name for it is "eukaryotic LSU rRNA". It matches the Rfam family "Eukaryotic large subunit ribosomal RNA", at positions 666 to 946 of the family's 3401-position model. The record is from RNAcentral. Lineage: Eukaryota; Metazoa; Arthropoda; Arachnida; Opiliones; Stylocellidae.